Molecule: ribosomal RNA, 422 nt
Filed under: uncultured bacterium
Lineage: Bacteria
Description: bacterial SSU rRNA
Rfam family: Bacterial small subunit ribosomal RNA
Source: RNAcentral
UGAGGAAUAUUGGGCAAUGCCCGCAAGGGUGACCCAGCAACGCCGCGUGGAGGAUGAAUGUCGUAAGAUUGUAAACUCCUGUUAGAGGGGAAGAAUAGUACCGGUUGGACCGGUAUAUGACUGUACCCUCAGAGAAAGCCCCGGCUAACUACGUGCCAGCAGCCGCGGUAAUACGUAGGGGGCAAGCGUUGUCCGGAUUUACUGGGUGUAAAGGGCGCGCAGGCGGGAUAAAAAGUCAGUGGUGAAAUCCUACAGCUUAACUGUAGAACUGCCUUUGAUACUUUUAUUCUUGAGUUCGGGCGAGAGAGACGGAAUUCCAGGUGUAGUGGUGAAAUACGUAGAUAUCUGGAAGAACACCAGUUGCGAAGGCGGUCUCUUGGUCCGACACUGACGCUGAGGCGCGAAAGCGUGGGGAGCAAACA